This 460-nucleotide ribosomal RNA is filed under the name uncultured bacterium. Its description in RNAcentral is "SSU rRNA". It matches the Rfam family "Bacterial small subunit ribosomal RNA", at positions 26 to 518 of the family's 1533-position model. The record is from RNAcentral.
AGAAUCAACGCUGGCGGCGUGCCUAACACAUGCAAGUCGAACGAGAAAGGGUAGCAAUACCCAAGUAAAGUGGCGCACGGGUGAGUAACACGUGACUAACCUACCCUGGAGUGGGGGGAUAACUGAGGGAAACCUUAGCUAAUACCGCAUAACACCUACGGGUCAAAGGAGCAAUUCGCUUCAGGAGGGGGUCGCGGCCGAUUAGUUAGUUGGCGGGGUAAAGGCCCACCAAGACGAUGAUCGGUAUCCGGCCUGAGAGGGCGCACGGACACACUGGAACUGAAACACGGUCCAGACUCCUACGGGAGGCAGCAGUGGGGAAUUUUGCGCAAUGGGGGAAACCCUGACGCAGCAACGCCGCGUGGAGGAUGAAGUACUUCGGUACGUAAACUCCUUUCGAUCGGGACGAUAAUGACGGUACCGAGAGAAGAAGCCCGGCUAACUUCGUGCCAGCAGCCGC